AUGUCCUGGAACGUGAGGGGACUAAACUCACCAGCAAAGCACACAGCCGUCUGUGAGGUUGCUCACGCAAAUAAAAUUGCAAUUCUAAACCUGCAGGAAACUAAGAUCGAGUCCUGGACCACGCAGUUAGCAGUAGAAGUAGGGAGGCCUUCGCUUCAGGGUUGCGCAGUUCUACCCGCGAUGGGUACUAGAGGCGGUGCAUCCAUCUUCUGGGAUAAGCAACUAGUCAACAUAGUUACGCACAUGAUUGCUAGCUUCUCCAUCACGGUUAGGGUAGAGAUCAUCAGUAGCAGCGAGUUCUUUUGGAUGAAAACUAUCUACGGGCCUUCGGAGGAUGAGCAAAAGGAAAACUUCCUAACUGAAUUAGCUAGCACAGCACCUCCCCUCUCUGAACCUUGUAUGCUCAACGGAGAUUUCAACAUGAUAUAUCAGGCGAGGGAAAAAAACAAUGGUCUGAUUAACAGAAGGAUGAUGGGUCGUUUUUGCCGAGCGAUUGAUCUUGCCGGGGUCAGGGAGGUCAAAUGCAGAAACAAGCGGUUUACUUGGAGUAGUGAAGAGAAUCCCCAACCUUAUGCAGCAUCGACAAGAUUUUUUCUAACUUGGCAUGGGAGGACAUGUUUCCUGAUUUGA
RNAcentral lists this ribosomal RNA (630 nucleotides) under Triticum aestivum (bread wheat). Its description in RNAcentral is "partial small subunit ribosomal RNA". Lineage: Eukaryota; Viridiplantae; Streptophyta; Magnoliopsida; Poales; Poaceae. The record is from RNAcentral.